This is an RNA transcript of Bombus huntii, 1870 nucleotides long. It is a transcript of the gene named glutathione S-transferase-like, with no coding region annotated. The transcript is spliced from 2 exons. NCBI's taxonomy places the organism in Eukaryota, Metazoa, Arthropoda, Insecta, Hymenoptera, Apidae. The record is from RefSeq and is a predicted model, not a curated record.
CGUAAAAAGAAACUAGUUACAUUUAAUUCUUUUUUUACAUUUAUUUAUUUUUUAUUAUUAUUAUUUUUUACAACUAAUUACAUUUAAUUAUUACAUUUACAUACAUUUAACUAUUAUUACAUACAUUUACAUACAUUUAAUUAUUAUUUUUUUCAUAAUUAUAUCUCGCUUGAAAUAUUUUUCGACAUAAUUAAUUGUUUCAAAAACACAUAUUCCAGCCUGCUAAAUGAUUUAUUUUGCGUAUUAUACGAAUUAUUCCAUGUAUAAAUAAAUUGUUCUCUAUACACACAAACACGCACACAGUCUGUUAAUUACACGAGUUAAUUGUAACAUUUUUCUCGAUAAGUUGACAGAGCAAGGAAAAUGAGCGACGAACCUACUUACAAACUAAUCUACUUCAAUGCCCGUGGUCGUGCCGAACAUAUACGGUACAUAUUUGCAUAUACUGGCAUCGAGUAUACCGACGAGAGGAUCCCCGAAGAACUCUGGCCUGAAUACAAGGCUUGUAAGCGUGAAGAAUCGAUUUUUACUUUCAUCGUUCAACUCUCAGAUAUCUACCAUUUACUCAAACUUUUCUGUAUAUAAAACUUUCGUUUCACGUGCAGGCUAAACUUACUUAAAGUAAAAUUUCAUACGGAAUAAAGUCGAACUUUUCAUUAAGUUUUGCUUCCGUAAUAUCGUGUUUAUCGAAUACCAACUUAAUUCACUUACGAUUCUCGAAUUUUUGUGUUGCAAUCUUUAUUGUUUUCAAUGAAUCGAAGCAUUUCGAAUAUUUUGAGAAAACCGUAAAUAGGUGACUUAAAAUAGGAACACAAAAAUACUUCUACGUUUCUCGUUAAAUUAAAAACUUUUUAGGACUUGUCGGAAAAAAAGGAUAAAAAAUUGAAAUCAGUUCGGAAAUGAACAAGAACAUAGCUAAAAAGUCGAAAGAACAAAGCAGACAUAAAAUUCGAUCUUCUGUUGCGACAUUUCUAUUGUAAAUGGUAUAAUAAAAGUUUUACGCAGCAUAGUCUUCGAUAUAAUCUUAUAUGUCGCUUGCAAAUAGAGAAACAAAAAAUCAACGUAAGUCUGUAAAUCAAUCCUGUCGGUGUAAAACACAAAAUUACGUUCGCAAGAGACAUUCGAUUUGUAUUCCUUGCAUUUCAAUUUUCAUUACAAGAACCGUGUACAUUUUCUAAUAUUUUUUCCGUGUCUGGUAUUAUGCGACGUGAAUUUUUUAUUCGCAGUUGUAAGUCCACUAUCAUUGCAUAAGGUCUUCCCGCAAAACGAUACUGAUCGUUCCUCGUACAUUCAGUACACCGCAUCAGACAGAUUCGUUCCUUUCCGUGAGAAUUACAAAUUUUAUACUCGAUCUUUUAUCCUUGAUUUUAAAAACUUUAGGUUCUUCUCAACAGUCAAAAACACGCGAUACCCUGUCCAUCGUAAUCGUAAGAAAAGAAAAAAAGGAGAAAGAAGACAUUUCUGUAUUUCUUUACUAGGCCAUGUUGAUUAAAACCGAAAUGAUUUCGAUUCAUCUAUUCACAAGAACGCAACGGCCUCGGAAGCUGUGUUGUGAUUUCCUAUCGAUCGUUUCCCUCUACACAGUGUUCAUAUGAGCCAUGUUUGUUCUUAGCAAUGCCUUAUAAAAUGCUGCCUGUGCUGCAGAUAGACGGGAAACCGGUAGCGCAGGGUAACGCUGUGGCGCGAUACUUGGCGAAGAAGUACGAUCUAAUGGGAAGGAACGAAUGGGAUGCGAUGAUAUGCGACGUGCUCGUCGAUACUCUUGGAGAUUUGAAGCAAGACGACAUGGGCGGACUUCGUGUUUGCAGCGGCACUUGAAAAUUUCGAGUAUAUGUUUGGGGCAUCAGCUUUGGAUAAAUAUCCAGCUCUU